UACGUAGGGUGCGAGCGUUGUCCGGAAUUAUUGGGCAUAAAGGGCUCGUAGGCGGUUUGUCGCGUCGGGAGUGAAAACCAGGUGCUUAACACCUGGCUUGCUUUCGAUACGGGCAGACUAGAGGUAUUCAGGGGAGAACGGAAUUCCUGGUGUAGCGGUGAAAUGCGCAGAUAUCAGGAGGAACACCGGUGGCGAAGGCGGUUCUCUGGGAAUGACCUGACGCUGAGGAGCGAAAGUGUGGGGAGCGAACAGG
Molecule: ribosomal RNA, 253 nt
Filed under: uncultured bacterium
Lineage: Bacteria
Description: partial 16S ribosomal RNA
Rfam family: Bacterial small subunit ribosomal RNA
Source: RNAcentral